ACCUCUUUGAUUUCAUUGAUUA
RNAcentral lists this small nuclear RNA (22 nucleotides) under Arabidopsis thaliana (thale cress). Its description in RNAcentral is "snRNA_11827". Lineage: Eukaryota; Viridiplantae; Streptophyta; Magnoliopsida; Brassicales; Brassicaceae. The record is from RNAcentral.